This 757-nucleotide unclassified non-coding RNA is filed under the name Hevea brasiliensis (rubber tree). Lineage: Eukaryota; Viridiplantae; Streptophyta; Magnoliopsida; Malpighiales; Euphorbiaceae. The record is from RNAcentral.
GGAUGAGAAGGUAAUAUUUUGUUCACAAGACCUUUCAUUUUAGGAAUAAAUGAUGGAAUGGACAAGUUUUAUCAUUUUGCAUUAUGUUAGUGACAUGAAGACUGGAAUGCAUAAAGGACUGUAGUUAAAGGUGAGCUGCAGAUUCUGCCUGGCUGCUGGGCACUGAGGCAUGGUAAUGUUAGGGUACCUUGAUAGUCUCAUGGCAACUUUUGCCGACUUUACUAAGGCACUCUUAUUCAAUGUCUAGGAAAGAGCCUUGACUAAGGUGAGGGGUGUUUGGGGCUAGUGAUGUUAGCACUCAAUUGAAUUUGAUAUCCUUCCUAUAGAUAUAGAAAAUAGCCCUCAAUUUGAGAAGACCUCAAUCAUUUGGGGAGGUGGAAAUUCAACCAAUAUCUUUCAAUCUUAAAAUACAGUAGCAGUUAUUGUUCAGUAUUUUUUUGCCUUACUUCCUUGAUAUAAAAUUGCUUAAAUAGUUUUCUGUCUCAUCCUUGCAUCUACAGGGAAUACAAAAAUGUUAGGUACUUCCCUAGCAUCCGUCUUUUCUUUGUUUUCCUAUUCCGUUGAUGUUCAUGUUUGCAUUUUAACUAUUCUAAGAACUUGUAAGGUGAAGCUUCUUUAUCUCUAUAUUACUAUUUCUUCCUGCAUAAUUCAUCUGCAAAACUAAAAAAUGAGUAAUAUGGGCACAAAUUACUGAAUGGUUACAACAACAACUAAGCCUUAACACCAAACUAGUUGGAAUCGGUUAUAUAGAUCUUUU